This 253-nucleotide ribosomal RNA is filed under the name uncultured bacterium. RNAcentral's name for it is "partial 16S ribosomal RNA". It matches the Rfam family "Bacterial small subunit ribosomal RNA", at positions 524 to 776 of the family's 1533-position model. The record is from RNAcentral.
UACGGAGGGUGCAAGCGUUAUCCGGAUUCACUGGGUUUAAAGGGUGCGUAGGCGGGUUGGUACGUCAGUGGUGAAAUCUCCAGGCUUAACUUGGAAACUGCCAUUGAUACUAUCAAUCUUGAAUACCGUGGAGGUCAGCGGAAUAUGUCAUGUAGCGGUGAAAUGCUUAGAUAUGACAUAGAACACCAAUUGCGAAGGCAGCUGGCUACACGAAUAUUGACACUGAUGCACGAAAGCGUGGGGAUCAAACAGG